This 251-nucleotide ribosomal RNA is filed under the name uncultured bacterium. Its description in RNAcentral is "partial 16S ribosomal RNA". It matches the Rfam family "Bacterial small subunit ribosomal RNA", at positions 81 to 334 of the family's 1533-position model. The record is from RNAcentral.
UACUUUGGUGGCGACCGGCGCACGGGUGCGUAACGCGUAUGCAACCUACCUUUAACAGGGGCAUAACACUGAGAAAUUGGUACUAAUUCCCCAUAACAUUCGAGAAGGCAUCUUCUUGGGUUAAAAACUCCGGUGGUUAAAGAUGGGCAUGCGUUGUAUUAGCUAGUUGGUGAGGUAACGGCUCACCAAGGCAACGAUACAUAGGGGGACUGAGAGGUUAACCCCCACAUUGGUACUGAGACACGGACCAA